AUCAAGUCAAGUUUGGGAGUGUUACAGGAUGGAAGAGUCGGCCUGUAGUUGAAAAAACACUGAGAAUGCAUUACCAUUAAGGUAUAAGUUCUGUCACAGCUAGAUGCCUCAAAUAACUCUGCUUCUCUGGCUAAAGAACAACUUGUCGUUUACGUUCAGAGUGUUGGUGAAACUGGGUACUUAAAUGGCCCUAAAGAUGUUUCACUUCGCUGCGAUUGCGGCGAUGAACAUCAUAUAUGGAUGCUUUAGGUAUGAAAGGAAUUUGCUUCAAAUAAUUUUGAAUUUAUGAUGAAGCAUUUCUCCCCUUUUUGCCAACCAUGUCUAAUCUACAAAAAAAAAGUUUAUCCAAUAGGAAAGGAUUUUCAUAUACUGGGAACACUACUAUCAACAAUGCAACAUUCUAUGUGUGCUAGUUUAUCAUUCAAGAGCCUUGUGCAAUCAUGUUAAUCUGCAAUUUGUAUGCCAUUUCCGAAGCCUCCACCAGAAGUUAAUAGUAACAUUGGAUCUGAAAAGAUUCUUGGUUGGGGCAAGACACUGAAUAAAUUGUAAUAAUUGGAUGGAUGCCAUGACAUUUCUAUACUUCAUUCGGAUUCCCGACACGGUAUUUUAUAUUAAAAAAAUUGAAGUGCAUAUCUGGGCUCCCUUCUUUUCUGUGGCCCCGUUUCCCUUAAAUUUUUAAUAAGCCCGUAGGGGGUCAUGCCCCUACUGUACGGUAUAUAUAAAAACAACAUAUACCGAGGUUUGGAGGGCUCUGGCCGGAAAGGGGACGUGGGGUGUCCGCUUAGUCCGAUGAAGUCUUCACGGAGGGCGACGUGGCUGCCCACAAAUCCGAAUUAAUGGCUAAUCGCUCCUGUAAAAAUGUUCCAUAUCUUCGGCUCUUCUUCCGGCUUCUCUUAGCCAAUCACCGGGUAAUCUCCCCGGUGGGUCAACAAGGCAGUGUCUCCCCCUGCCUGGGUUGACGGCAACUUCUGAAAGGGCUGUUAUGCCUUUUUAGAGUUGCAAAAAAAAUUGUAA
This is a long non-coding RNA of Daphnia carinata, 1014 nucleotides long. RefSeq lists it as uncharacterized. The transcript is spliced from 3 exons. NCBI's taxonomy places the organism in Eukaryota, Metazoa, Arthropoda, Branchiopoda, Diplostraca, Daphniidae. The record is from RefSeq and is a predicted model, not a curated record.